UUUGUCCUUAAAUUUUUUAGCCUUUUAACUACUAAGUUUAUAAUCUUAGGAUGAAAAAUUACAGGAUUGAUAUGUUAGUGGUCUCCUAGAAUUUGGUGAUAGUUUCUUUUUAGACUUUAAUUGGUUAAGGUAUAAAUAAGGCUGCCUAUUCCAGAAAUAAGGAUAAGUUGAGGUGUAGUAUAAAUAUGAAAUAGAGUAAAUUUUUAUUUGGAUAAAAAUUGGGCUGAUCUUGAAAAUAAGUUAAAAAUAUAAUAUUUGGAUGGCUAUAUUAGACUAGCUGGAAUAAAAGUAAUUAUAAUUUUAAAUUAAUAGCAUUUUAUCUAAUUAAUUAAUAUGAAAAUAUUAUUUAAAAAUAAUUUAAUAAAUUAAAAAAUUUAUUGGCUAUGAAUAUCGUAUAAGAUAAUAAAAAAUUCUAAAUAAUUAAUUAUAAAAUAUAACUUAACUUUAAUUAAUUAGUAAAUUAUUUAAUUAGUUAGAUGAUUUGUUAAGAAAUUAAUUUAAUUAGUUGACCAAUAUAAAUAUUAGUCAUUAGAUAAACACAUCAAAUAAUUAAUUCUUGACGAGCUAGUUAACCCUGAAUAAUAAAUUAAUUAAUUACUUAAAGCAAUAGAUUAUGACUUAAAUAUAUUAAUUAUAUUAAUUAAUAAAUAUAUAUAAUAAUUAAAAUUAGAUUUAAACUUUAACUA
Molecule: long non-coding RNA, 686 nt
Filed under: Ananas comosus (pineapple)
Lineage: Eukaryota; Viridiplantae; Streptophyta; Magnoliopsida; Poales; Bromeliaceae
Description: long non-coding RNA (ACOM_LNC005799)
Source: RNAcentral